This 305-nucleotide ribosomal RNA is filed under the name uncultured bacterium. RNAcentral describes it as "bacterial SSU rRNA". It matches the Rfam family "Bacterial small subunit ribosomal RNA", at positions 333 to 652 of the family's 1533-position model. The record is from RNAcentral.
UAUUACCUACGGGGGGCAGCAGUGGGGAAUAUUGGACAAUGGGGGGAACCCUGAUCCAGCGACGCCGCGUGAGUGAAGAAGUAUUUCGGUAUGUAAAGCUCUAUCAGCAGGGAAGAAAGAAAUGACGGUACCUGACUAAGAAGCCCCGGCUAACUACGUGCCAGCAGCCGCGGUAAUACGUAGGGGGCAAGCGUUAUCCGGAUUUACUGGGUGUAAAGGGAGCGUAGACGGGAAGCCAAGUCAGCUGUGAAAACUACGGGCUUAACUUGUAGACUGCAGUUGAAACUGGUUUUCUUGCGUGAAGU